UACAGAGGAGCCAAGCGUUGUCCGGAUUGACUGGGCGUAAAGCGCACGCAGGCGGCAUCGCGCGUGGGGUGUGAAAUCUGGCCGCUUAACGGCCAGGCGCCAUCCCAUACGGCGAGGCUGGAGCGAUGCAGAGGUCGGUGGAAUUGCCGGUGUAGUGGUGAAAUGCGUAGAUAUCUGGAGGAACACCGGUGGCGAAGGCGACAUCCUGGACCAACACUGACGCUGAGGAGCGAAAGCCAGGGGAGCAAACGGG
This 253-nucleotide ribosomal RNA is filed under the name uncultured bacterium. RNAcentral's name for it is "partial 16S ribosomal RNA". It matches the Rfam family "Bacterial small subunit ribosomal RNA", at positions 524 to 776 of the family's 1533-position model. The record is from RNAcentral.